UAUAUAUAUAUAUAUAUAUAUAUAUAUAUAUAUAUAUAUAUAUAUAUAUACACUAGGAAACUUAUUAGGGCCGUGAUAUAAUCACGGCCCAAAAGAAUUAAUGAGUAAGUUAGUGUUAAAUGGUUCAGGAAAAACACGAUUGAUAGACAAAUAUAACUUUUGAUUGAAUUUUUUUUGUUAUGGCUCCCAAUAAUAUAAAUGGCAGAAAGCUUGUUGGGGUAGAAGUUGUGUUCUGUUUGAAUUUGUGUCUAACAACAUUUGGGAUCUUGAUAUCCAGCGUCAUAUUAUUAGAACCCAAAUACUACAGUGGCUCUCCAUAAUUGGCUUCAAGUGCCCUGUUUUUCAGAAUUUUAUCGAGUGUAAAUUGGGUAUUUUCUAGAAUGAAGAUAAAAUAUUAUAGUUGGGUAGAUUUUUGGAUUAUAAUGUCUUAAUAAGUUAGGGAUACAUGCGAGAAAUGGUAAUAUAUGUUCGUUUAUUUGUAGAUUUUUUUUUCUAUUUAUAUGUUGUAGUUUGAAAUCUACCUACUUAUAGCAAUAUACUUUAAAUAUUAUCUUAUCAUGACAUUCUACUCUGAAGAUUCUACUGUAUUGUGUGAUUUAGGCCCUUCAUUUUGAUUGUUUUUUGUAGAAAUCAAAAUCGUGAGAAAAAAAGAAUAUUUUUCUUAUAUGUGUGUAUUGGCAUAAUAGAAUUUUACUUAACUAUUUUCAUCAUGUUUUGGCCAUUAUUUUGUUCAGGAGCAAUUUUGUAAUUUCUGAUGUCCAAUAUUUUACAUUUAUACAAAUAUUUUGAUAUUCAUACUUCAUUUUCAUUUUUUGAGUCAUUUUCUUGUGUUAACCUCUUUUAAUUUUGUAUAAGAGUCGAUCUUUUACUUUAGGGGUAUUAUAGUCAAUUAGCAUGCUUCUUUUGCUAUUUACUUCAACGUCUAGUUUUUUGCCUUGUAUUUUCAAUUGUUGACAUUGACAUGACAUUUGGUCCUUCAAUAAUGUUAUCAUCUCUUUGAACUAAAACAUUUUGUGUAUUGCAGCUCCAUUCACCUGUAUCUUCUCAUGUUCUUUAAAAAAAUUCACCUACAUUUUUAUUUAUAAUCAGGGCUGUUAGUUAUUUAUCACAAAGCAUACAGGCAAAAUCAAGACAUAUAGCAUAAGGAAAAAUAAAUAGCAACAAACUAUAUAAAAUAUGGGAACCACCUCAAUAUACUAAAUAUAAGUAAAGAUUAAACCAAAUAUUUUAAUUUUAUAUGUUUGACUUGUUAUAAAUGAAAUGCAACUCAAAUUGACUUGUUUCUUUUCGACAUUUCAAAAAAUUAAAUUUCAUAAUUUUCAUCAAUUCUAUCGAUAUUCAUCAAACCUUAACAUGAAAAGAAUUGGGAGGAAAAAUAAUAACUGAAAAUAGGUAAAAGGUUAGAGUCAUAAUACAUUAAACCUGGUUUUUGGCUUAAUCUAUUAAGUCAUUUCGAUAAGAUUAAGUAAAAAAGACAGUCAUCUAUACUUCGAAAACAGUCCACAUUGAGUCACUAAGCCCACCAAGUAAAAACAGAAACAAAACGCUUACACUGUAGUCUAUACACACAUCAGGGGGGAAAAAUAGGCCCUUGUAAGUUGUAACAGUAAGCCUUCUCUUUGACUUUCACAUAUUAGAAAGUUAUCUUUUUAAAUUUAAGUACCAAUGCCCUUAUUAAAAUUUAACUCUAAUUUUCCAAAUUGUGCAGUCAUUUUAUAAGAUAUAAACAAUGUUUAACAACACAUCACUAAAAUAAGAAACGAAGGGCCAUUUGCAGCUCAUAUUCUAAUUGUUGUGCAGUCAUUUUAUAAGAUAUAAACAAUGUUUAACAACACAUCACUAAAAUAAGAAACGAAGGGCCAUUUGCAGCUCAUAUUCUAAUUGUCUGAAAAAUCAAGCUGCUCACCGCCAUAUAUGUUAAAAAUUGUUGCUCACCGCCAUAUAUGUUAAAAAUUGUUGGCUCCUACUGAACGAAAAUAAAAUUAUAGCUAGAGACAUGAACUGAAAUGAGAGUGUGAUGAAGAACUCCAAAUUAGAUUCGUAAUACCUUACUGAGCAUUCUUCAACGACCAAAAAAAAUCAAAUUGCAUAGUGAUUGUAGUUGGCGAUGUCAACUGCCGAAGAUGGGAAUUAAUAGCCAUGGUGGAGGCAUCAAGAAGAAGAGACCCAGAGGAUGAAGUAUAAAUAAAUAGAGAAGAGUAUAGAGUCAAUAUAUCUUAGAAUUGUACGUGUCGUAUCAAGGAAAAUCAUUGUAACCAAAAUCUACUAUUGAAGCAACACGUUUCUUGAAGAAAGAAGCAUGUGGCAAGCUGUCAUGCAAUUAAGUAAUUAAAAAAAAUCCACCUUUGAAGUCUCAUGCAUCAACCUGAGGCAAAGAUGAUAGGAAACAACCAAGUAAGUAGGUGAGACGGGCAGCCAAGCAGCUAACGGAAGGAUGAUGUACGGCAUGACGGAAGAAGAUUAGAACAGAGCUGUUGAGCACAUAUAAGUUAAGAAUGGCCGCCCAUUGGUUUCUUAUUGGAAGAGUAAGGUUUGGUUAAAGUUGGACACGAACAUGGGCAGUUAAGUGGGGCAGUGUUGACUAGUCAAAAUCUUUCUAUUGGGACACCUGUCAUAUCCGCUUCCCCUUUGCUUGGUGAGUUUACUAGUCCAGAUGAAAAUGGUGUUGUGGCUUCGAUUGGGUCCGAGAAGUCUAGUGCUGCAGAACAGCCUCUUGAGAGAUUACUCAAAGUGGUGAAAUCAAUUUCAGCAAGAGCUGCAGUUGGUGAGGAUUUGGUUGCCAUGAUUUCGGCUUCAAGCAAGAACUCUUGUCACUUAAGAGGGAACAAAUCCCAAUACCAUUAGAAAGAUGAAAAGUUUCACAAGUGCUAUGCCUUUAAAUGUUGUUUCAUCUGCUGGAAGUGUGAAUGAUAGCUUCAAAAUGUUAUCAGCAUAUUUUGGAUUUUAUUAUAGUUUGAAGAUGGAUGGAUUGUAAAGAUUUUCUUUGGAAAAAGGAAAUUCUAGCUACUACUUUUGAUUGUAUUCGAAGUUGUUGGAGAAUGAAUGCAGGUUUUCUUAAAGCAGCAUCUCACCAAUGUCGUCUUCGAUUCUCAUUUUAACGAUGAAGAAGUUGCAGCAGCUUUUGUGCCUCCAAGUGAACCAAAAGAAGAGGAUGAGCUAAUAGAAAGAGAUGAGGGGUCGCCACUAGUUGUUAAACGGAAAAAGAAGAAAUCCAAAUCACGCGAUGUUGAUAGAGAUGACGAUGAUGAAUCACACGAUCUUGUAAUUUAAACAAUAUGUUUUCAACAUCCCUUUUGGAAACCAAAAGUUGUUGCUUUAGUUCUUGCACUGUAGUUUCACAUUGUUCUUUCAUGAAGACCAUACAUAAUGAUUCAGACCCCCUUCCCCUUCCCUUUUAGGAUCCUUCUUUUCAUGUUUUUCAUUGUAAUUUUUGAUUAUCUAAGAUUCUGAAAAAGUUCCUUUAAUCAGUUUUAACCCUUGUCUCCAGUUUUAACCUGAUAGACGUAUUAUUAAAAUUAUUUGUUUAGUAAUUAGAUAAUUAGAGUUGAUUAAAGAAGUUAUAUAUGUUGCAUGUGAAUCGAUACCAAUCAGGUUGUUUUUUAGCCCAUAUGAACUGACACCAACACAUAGGAAUAUUAAGAUGAAAUUUUGUUGAUUAUAUGAAGAUGAAAUUUUUGUGCAUUAACAUCUGGUUUGUGUAGGCAGCAACAAAGAUUUUGGCACGCCAAUUGGUGAGGCUUAGACAACAAAUAGCCAACCUACAAAGUAGUCGGGCUCAAAUGAGGGGCAUAUCAACACAUACACAGGCAUUAGCUGGACACUCUUCUGUGGCUGUUGGGAUGAAAGAUGCUACCAAGGCAAUGGCAGCAAUGAAUAAGGAAAUGGCUCCUGCAAAGCAAAUGAAAGUGAUGCAACAGUUCCAGAAGCAAUCUGCGCACAAAUGGAUAUGAUUGGUCAUCAAUGUUUAUGGAGGAACUGUGGUAUGAUUGGUAGGAUCUCAUGGAGAUAAUGAAAAGUCUUGCCAUGUUAUUUUAAUGGGAAUUAUUAAGUUGUAUUUUAAUGAAACUCCAUGAGGAAGAGAGGGAACAUUGAUGGAUUUUUUGCCUAUUGAAUCUGAUCGAAGCUAAUAAGAAGCUUUGGAGGAAACGAGACUCAAGCAAAAGUAAA
Non-coding RNA from Lactuca sativa (garden lettuce), 4167 nucleotides. Lineage: Eukaryota; Viridiplantae; Streptophyta; Magnoliopsida; Asterales; Asteraceae. The record is from RefSeq and is a predicted model, not a curated record.